UGGGGAAUCUUCGGCAAUGGACGAAAGUCUGACCGAGCAACGCCGCGUGAGUGAAGAAGGUUUUCGGAUCGUAAAACUCUGUUGUUAGAGAAGAACAAGGACGUUAGUAACUGAACGUCCCCUGACGGUAUCUAACCAGAAAGCCACGGCUAACUCCGUGCCAGCAGCCGCGGUAAUACGGAGGGUGCAAGCGUUAAUCGGAAUUACUGGGCGUAAAGCGCACGCAGGCGGUCUGUCAAGUCGGAUGUGAAAUCCCCGGGCUCAACCUGGGAACUGCAUUCGAAACUGGCAGGCUAGAGUCUUGUAGAGGGGGGUAGAAUUCCAGGUGUAGCGGUGAAAUGCGUAGAGAUCUGGAGGAAUACCGGUGGCGAAGGCGGCCCCCUGGACAAAGACUGACGCUCAGGUGCGAAAGCGUGGGGAGCAAACAGG
Molecule: ribosomal RNA, 429 nt
Filed under: Chloroflexota bacterium
Lineage: Bacteria; Bacillati; Chloroflexota
Description: Chloroflexi bacterium partial 16S ribosomal RNA
Rfam family: Bacterial small subunit ribosomal RNA
Source: RNAcentral